AUGAAAAAUAUAAUAAUUUAUUAUAUUUAAUCUAUUUUGAUAACUUUUUAAAUAUGUGUCACUUUUUUAAUUGUGUGACUAUUUUGGUUCCGAGUUCUAGGGUAUUAUUGUAUCCUCUUUCACAAUCACGCCUCGCCUCUCACUCUCUCUCAGUCACUCUCUCACAUCUCCGAUCUCACUCUCUCGACUCUCAGUCAGUGUCUCGUAUCUCCGAUCUCACUCUCUCAGUCUCUCAGUCACGAAAAAUUGUUGUUGCUGACAAGAUCGAACUUGUGCCGAAGAUCGAACUUCGAAUUGAGCCGAAAAUUUGACGUAAGAGUCAAUUCGCUACUCACAUCUCGAUCGAAAAUUGAAGGUCAAAAAAUUUCAGGAGGUGAAAGCUGAUGUUAUGAACAGCUAACCCACGGCCUGUUGAUGGCAUGGAUCAAAAUGAUGAUAACUGUGGUGUUUCUCUGCUCUCAGUGUUCAGUAUGAUGAGCUAAUGUUAAUUCCAUGUCCAGAGAGCAACAGAUAUAGUACUAUUUACAAUAGUAUUAUUUCUGCGCAUUAAUUGCUUAUCGUAUUGUAUGAGUAACCUGAGCCUUGAAGGUUCAUCAUGACAAAACAUUUUUACAUGGUUCUCCAGCUCCCCUUGAGUGUUUGUAGAUGGUGUUAGAUUGAGAUUGAUGUGCUAGUUACAUGUAUGAUUGUGCCUUACACCAGGCUGGAGCUGCUCUAAGAAUCCUCUAUUUACAGUAGCAACAUAGUUAGAAAACUAUUAUUUCUACCUACUAUGAGAAUUAGAAAUUAUAAAUAGAGUUAAUAGUACAAAACACA
Capsicum annuum is the source of this 816-nucleotide long non-coding RNA. RefSeq lists it as uncharacterized. The record is from RefSeq and is a predicted model, not a curated record. Lineage: Eukaryota; Viridiplantae; Streptophyta; Magnoliopsida; Solanales; Solanaceae. The transcript has 2 exons.